GUGUCAGUAGUUCAGUGGUGCAGCAUCCGCCUCGUAUGCGGGAAGACCCGGGUUCGAUUCCCGGCUGCUUCC
This 72-nucleotide transfer RNA is filed under the name Toxocara canis (dog roundworm). It matches the Rfam family "tRNA". From Rfam's summary of the family: Transfer RNA (tRNA) molecules are approximately 80 nucleotides in length. Lineage: Eukaryota; Metazoa; Nematoda; Chromadorea; Rhabditida; Toxocaridae. The record is from Rfam by way of RNAcentral.